This 440-nucleotide ribosomal RNA is filed under the name uncultured bacterium. RNAcentral describes it as "partial 16S ribosomal RNA". It matches the Rfam family "Bacterial small subunit ribosomal RNA", at positions 338 to 795 of the family's 1533-position model. The record is from RNAcentral.
CCUACGGGAGGCAGCAGUGGGGAAUAUUGCACAAUGGGGGAAACCCUGAUGCAGCGACGCCGCGUGAGUGAAGAAGUAUUUCGGUACGUAAAGCUCUAUCAGCAGGGAAGAAAAUGACGGUACCUGACUAAGAAGCCCCGGCUAACUACGUGCCAGCAGCCGCGGUAAUACGUAGGGGGCAAGCGUUAUCCGGAUUUACUGGGUGUAAAGGGAGCGUAGACGGCAGCGCAAGUCUGGAGUGAAAUCCCAUGGCUUAACCAUGGAACUGCUUUGGAAACUGUGCAGCUAGAGUGCAGGAGAGGUAAGCGGAAUUCCUAGUGUAGCGGUGAAAUGCGUAGAUAUUAGGAGGAACACCAGUGGCGAAGGCGGCUUACUGGACUGUAACUGACGUUGAGGCUCGAAAGCGUGGGGAGCAAACAGGAUUAGGUACCCCAGUAGUC